UACAGAGGGUGCGAGCGUUAAUCGGAAUUACUGGGCGUAAAGCACACGUAGUCGGCUUUGCAAGUCGGGUGUGAAAUCCCCGGGCUCAACCUGGGAACUGCAUCCGAGACUGCAUUGCUAGAGUAUGGGAGAGGGAAGCGGAAUUUCUGGUGUAGCAGUGAAAUGCGUAGAUAUCAGAAGGAACAUCAGUGGCGAAGGCGGCUUCCUGGACCAAUACUGACGAUCAGGUGCGAAAGCGUGGGGAGCAAACAGG
RNAcentral lists this ribosomal RNA (253 nucleotides) under uncultured bacterium. RNAcentral describes it as "partial 16S ribosomal RNA". It matches the Rfam family "Bacterial small subunit ribosomal RNA", at positions 524 to 776 of the family's 1533-position model. The record is from RNAcentral.